CCCCAGAUGCCCUGCUGAGCAGGUGACUGUGGUCCCCGUGCCAUGCUUGUCUGUGCCUAGUGGCGGUGCCUCGUGGACAGACAGGGACGGGCAGGGGCCACACACCUGCCAAGUGGCAGCUCACCAUCGUGUCCUUCUCCCUGUGCCUCACAGGAAAGCAUCCCCAGGCAGGGCCAGCCAGGGGCACAGGUGAGACAGCAGGAGGACAUGAGGACAGCAAGUGCGUGGCAUUGGAGAACACUGGAAUUGAGCCACCAGGGGGACUUGGAGUUCUCGGUGUGACCAUGAGGAGCGGUGUGUGUAAAUGCCCAGCAGGUGUCCUGAACAGAGACUUACCGUUCCAAGCUGGUGCCCUGCCUGAGCCACUGUUGCCCCACUGGUUCCCUGUCCUGUCGGAGCUGCCCUGGAAGCAGACGCCUGCGUCUGCAUCCAGAGCAGCUCCCGGCACUGUCCUCUUCUAGAAUCUUCCGGCCCACUGUGCACUUAGCAGCAGUCAGAGGGUCUCGUGGAUCUGGGGCGCCAGCUGUGUGCUUCCCGCUUCCGCAAACCUCUCCACUGCCCUCGCUGAGCUCUGCCCAUGCCAACUGUGCCCUGGCAGUGGGAGACCACCAGAAUGGUCUUCCCUGGUGAGUGCCACUCCCCUGGGUCAGCUUCUCCAGAGACGGACCCAGCGGCUGAGCAAACGUGUGGACAUGUGCUCUGAGGAGCUGGUGCUCCCGGUGACAGAGGCUGGCCAACCUAGAGCCUGCGGGGCCGGCUGCAGGCGGGAGACCAGGGAGGCCGACGAGCAGCUUGUGUCCAGAAGCUGCCCCCUGGCAGGAUUCCCUCCUGCUCAGGGGUCCCCAGGCUCCUCUUGGGUUCUUCUCAGGCCUUCGACUGAUUGGGUGAAGCCCACCCAUACCGUGGAGGACAAGAGGCACCAAUUUAAAUGCUGAUCUCAUCCAAAAACACCCUCACAGAAAACUCCAGAAUAAUGUCUGAUUGACUUAUUACCUCAGCACCAUGGCUCAGCCAAGUUGUCACAAAAAAUUAGCAGCACGCUCCUCAACAGGCAUCUUUUACUUAUAGUCCCAGGACUUCACGCUCUUUCCAUGGCCUGCAGUGUGAUUUCAAAGCCCUGGGGUCUGAUAAUUGCCCGCGUUCCCACCUGGCUCCACAGUCUCCCCUGCUCACGUGUGAGGGCAUCCCGGCCUUCCCUGACUCCUGGACACGUGCGGUCUCUGCACACCUAGCCUGCGCACCUGCCACAGCCGUGAGUGGCUCCCUUCCCUGAUGCUGCUGCAGGCUGCUCUGGAAGCCUCACAGCACCUAAAGGACCUAAAGCUCGCGGCUCCGACCGACACCUCCUGCACUCACAGCCUCUCGUCUGCGGCGUCCGCCCGUCCUGCAGGCUGCUGUGGCCCAGGGCUCCGCGCAGCAGAUGUCCUUGUUGCCGCAGGACAUUGCUAGUCCGGAUUUCCUGGGUCACUGCCCUUCCUUCCGAUGUUCUACACCUGUUACUGUUUGCCUCUGGACGUCCCGGGCCCAGCAGGCAGGGAAGGCCUGGCCCCUCUGCGGGUGCUCAGAGAUGGGGCUCUGGGGGGUGACUGGGUAGCGAGGCUCAGGCUCACAGCAGGUGGAUGUUGGGAGGUGGUGUGGACCGGAGGAGGCGGCCCUGCUUGAAGGAGGGUCCCUGGGGGUGUGCCCUGGGGCCUGCAUCCCCCCCCUCCCUCUCGGCUUCCUGGCCGCCCUGAGCUGCCGCUCUGCCUCCCCUCAGCACCAAAGCCCUGGGGUCACUGGCCAGGGACUGAAACCGAGUACCCUUUCCAGCUCUAGGUUGUCUUCCUCAGGUCCCAGCACGGAGAGCCAGCCACAUGCCCUCUCCAUGGUCACAGUCCCCUCUCAGCCCACCUUCGGAAGCUCUAGGAAGGGAUUUUUAGUGGGAAACUUCUCGAUAUCUCUAGGCUUUAUUUGUCUAAAAACUGUAUUUAUCUAAACUUUAAAACAAUGUCUGCAUCGAGGGCUGAGGUGCAGUUCAGUGGCUGAGUGCUUGCCUCGCAUGCUCAAGGUCCUGGGUUCAACCCCCAGCACGAAUAAAAACAAGUUGGAAUUAACAAUUAAGCCAGGCUGAUUCACAUGUCACCUCACACGCUUGUGUGUGUGUGUCGUGAACACUUAAAACCUACUCUCGGUAACUUUGAACCAUGUUAUAUCAACUGCAGUUGCCAAUCUGUGCAAUAGUUCUCAGGGGCUCAUUCUUCCUGUCUCAUGAAAACUGUGCCCCUCGCUGAUCAACACCCCAGCUCCCAGGAAUCAGGAGUCCACUCUGCUUCUGAGCUCAGUGUUUCCAGACCCGCGGAUGCGGCUCGGCUUGUUUCACCUGCUCCCUGUCCUCCAGGUGCGUCCACAUUGUCACAAAGGAUAGGAUUUCCUUCCCUUUUUUUUGUACUGGGGACUGAACUCAGGGGCACUCCAUCACUGAUCCACAUCCCAGCCCUAUUUUGUAUUUAGAGACAGGGUCUCACUGAGUUGUUUUAGCACCUCGCCAUUACUGGGACUGGCUUUGAACUCGCCAUCCUCCUGCCUCCCCAGCGGCUGGGGUUACAGGUGUGCACCACGCGCCUGUCAGUUUUCUUCCUUUUUAAAGAAAGUUCUGAAACAUU
Long non-coding RNA from Marmota monax (woodchuck), 2642 nucleotides. RefSeq lists it as uncharacterized. The transcript has 3 exons. NCBI's taxonomy places the organism in Eukaryota, Metazoa, Chordata, Mammalia, Rodentia, Sciuridae. The record is from RefSeq and is a predicted model, not a curated record.